RNAcentral lists this ribosomal RNA (455 nucleotides) under uncultured bacterium. Its description in RNAcentral is "bacterial SSU rRNA". It matches the Rfam family "Bacterial small subunit ribosomal RNA", at positions 340 to 786 of the family's 1533-position model. The record is from RNAcentral.
UACGGAAGGCAGCAGUGGGGAAUAUUGCACAAUGGGCGCAAGCCUGAUGCAGCCAUGCCGCGUGUAUGAAGAAGGCCUUCGGGUUGUAAAGUACUUUCAGUCGUGAGGAAGGUGUUAAGGUUAAUAACCUUAGCAACUGACGUUAGCGACAGAAGAAGCACCGGCUAACUCCGUGCCAGCAGCCGCGGUAAUACGGAGGGUGCGAGCGUUAAUCGGAAUUACUGGGCGUAAAGGGCACGCAGGCGGUUAAUUAAGUUGGAUGUGAAAUCCCCGGGCUUAACCUGGGAAUGGCAUUCAAGACUGGUUAGCUAGAGUCUUGUAGAGGGGGUAGAAUUCCGAUGUGUAGCGGUGAAAUGCGUAGAGAUGUGGAGGAAUACCGGUGGCGAAGGCGGCCCCUGGACAAAGACUGACGCUCAUGUGCGAAAGCGUGGGGAGCGAAACAGGGAUUAGAUACC